UACAGAGGGUGCAAACGUUGCUCGGAAUUAUUGGGCGUAAAGCGCAUGUAGGCGGCACGGUAAGUUCGUUGUGAAAGCCCUUGGCUCAACCAAGGAAGUGCAACGAAAACUGCCGAGCUCGAGUUCUGAAGAGGGUCGCGGAAUGGCCAGUGUAGAGGUGAAAUUCGUAGAUAUUGGCUAGAACACCAGUGGCGAAGGCGGCGACCUGGGAAGAUACUGACGCUGAGAUGCGAAAGCGUGGGGAGCAAAC
Molecule: ribosomal RNA, 250 nt
Filed under: uncultured bacterium
Lineage: Bacteria
Description: partial 16S ribosomal RNA
Rfam family: Bacterial small subunit ribosomal RNA
Source: RNAcentral